This 253-nucleotide ribosomal RNA is filed under the name uncultured bacterium. Its description in RNAcentral is "partial 16S ribosomal RNA". It matches the Rfam family "Bacterial small subunit ribosomal RNA", at positions 524 to 776 of the family's 1533-position model. The record is from RNAcentral.
UACAGAGGGUGCAAGCGUUAAUCGGAAUUACUGGGCGUAAAGCGUGUGUAGGCGGAUAUUUAAGUCGGAUGUGAAAUCCCUGGGCUCAACCUAGGAACUGCAUUCGAUACUGGAUGUCUAGAGUAUGGUAGAGGAAAGUGGAACUCCCGGUGUAGCGGUGAAAUGCGUAGAUAUCGGGAAGAACACCAGUGGCGAAGGCGGCUUUCUGGACCAAUACUGACGUUGAGGCACGAAAGCGUGGGGAGCAAACAGG